This 874-nucleotide long non-coding RNA is filed under the name Rattus norvegicus (Norway rat). RNAcentral's name for it is "long non-coding RNA NONRATT016452". The record is from RNAcentral. Lineage: Eukaryota; Metazoa; Chordata; Mammalia; Rodentia; Muridae.
AAAUUGAGUAAUGUAAUAACCAGCACUGAGUCUCAAGUAUGCUUUAGGUUGUUGUAUAUUUGUAAUUUUAUAAGAAUUGUAACUAACAGUUUUCAGUUGCAUUAUUCAUUGAACUGUCUUGAAAGAACCACCAAUAUGCUAAAUAGUUUUUUUCUCCCUUGUCCUCAGAUCAUUGUAAUGUAUUUACAAGUCUUAGAAUGUGAACGUAACCAAACCCUGGUUCAGACUGCCUGGUAAGUUCCUUUUUUACAUUUCUUCUUUAGUCAGGAAAACAGAAGCAGAAAUAAAGUAAGUUUCAUUUUUCUCUUUCCAAAAUAAUGAAAUAAGUUUGUUUUUGGGGUAUUUUGUGGUUUUUUGUUUGUUUGUUUUUGUUUUUUAACCAAAAGGUACAUAAUGCUUAUUUCUGCUUCCUGUUUUCUUGGCUUGACUAACUACUUUUAAUGGAGAACUCAAUUUAACUUUGUUCUUUUUUCUACUCUUUAAUUAAAGGGUAGUCCAUGAUGGUAAGUCAUAGAACUCUGCCCUCUGCACUUCAGCCCAUGACCUCAGGAUGGCCUGAUUGGCUAGCCUGCUCUCCAGCCAAUCCAGUGCAAGCUCUCAUCCGAGAUUCACUGAAGUGGUCCAUAUCCAUCUGGCAGCAUCUUCUAGUUCUGUCGGGGUGUCAAAAGGAUUUGUAUAUUUGCUUCUAGAAGUAACUAUGCAUCAUGCCUAUGUAUUAUUCAAUGUAUACCUGUAACUAUCAAAAUGAAUAUUUCAUUUUUGAUAGAUUGUUGUCCAGCUAUUAUGAAUUGUUUUUGUUUUUUGUUUUUUGUUUUUUUUUUUAAUUGGGUUCAAUUAAAUUUCUACUUUGCAGUGUGUAUGGCAUCCUUUCUAC